Pseudopipra pipra is the source of this 3497-nucleotide long non-coding RNA. RefSeq lists it as uncharacterized. The record is from RefSeq and is a predicted model, not a curated record. Lineage: Eukaryota; Metazoa; Chordata; Aves; Passeriformes; Pipridae. The transcript is spliced from 9 exons.
AGCACUACCUGCCUCAGGUGACCUUCACAGAGGUGGCAGUGGGGCAGGGGACACUCAUCCUCUGUCACCUCAGGGCUCGAUGAGUGACAGCCUGCCCGUGGCAGAGACCAGAGCCUCCCUGCUGAUGCUGAGAUAAUGCACUGGGUAAUAGUUUUCGACAUAUUUCAUUGAAAUAUAACAAAAUAUUUGCAUAGCUUUAUUAGAUAAAGGGGAGCUGACUGGAGGCAGAGCUCAUUUGGAAAUACGAUGUGAAAAUUCAUUUAAAAUGAAAGAAUCUGGAAGCUUAAGUUUAUGGUAAUAGAUUGAUCGCCCAGAGUAGCUAAUGACUCCCAACAAAUAGAUCUCAGCUACUGCAUCCUCUGCUUGGCUGCUGCCCUGGAGUUACCCAGUCCCUGUUUAUGGGGUGAACUGGGGCCGUGGAUGCCAGCUCCGAGCCGGACUGGGAGUGCUGGGAGCCUGUGGCACACGGGGAGAGGGUGUGAUGGAGCGGCAGGAGGAGGGAGAGGGCUGCGUGACUCCAGGAUAAAUGCUGGGGUUUAAUUUCCAUCUCCCCGAUGCUGAAGCAGAUUGAAAUGAAGCCACUGAAAAGGUGCAGAUGAGAGGUGAGCACAGCUGGGAUCUGUUCCUCUGGUGCUGGGCUGGACCUUUCCACUGGAGGCUGUGCCAAUGGAGCAGACGUCGUCUCCCUUUCAUCUAGGACUUUGCUGUUCUCUGGUUCCCUACAGUUACAGAAACCACAAGGCUGGGAGAGGGGAGGAAAAAAAGAAGAGAUUAAAUUAAUGAGCAGGUGUUGAAGCACCCGGACAAAUUUCCCCUGUGUUGACGAGGAGCAAACAGUCCGGCGGAACAGGCGAUGUUUGCAGAGGGAAUCCAGAGGUGUCUCGCGAGACUCUUCGAAGGGUAGCAGUGCCAGAGGAGCAAUAACCAGGUGUAGCCCUGCAGCGACAAAGUGACCAACCUCAGGCACCACCUUGAACUGAGCCUGUGCUGCGCUUGGGAAGCCGGGGGGAGCAACGUUCCUCGCUGUGCCACGAGCUGAGGGGGGUGAGCAUCGCUCUGGCCAUCGUUCCAGCGCUCCCAGACAUCUCUCCCUCCCCUUCCCUCCCUCUGGCAGCCGUGGAGUCAGCAGCAGCCCCCCACACCUAUUAAAGGCUGGAAAGCAUCACAGCAGUGCCCGUGGUUCCCGAGCAUCCCCUGGCUGGGCCAGCAGACGAACUGGAGCCACGUCCCUGUGGGACCAGAAGAUGCUGUGCAGGGGCACCACGCGUCUCUCCAGGACGCCCUUCAGGGGCCCAGCGUGAAAGACAUCUAAAAUUCAUAAAUGUCAAGGAGGAAAGGAAGUGAGGACAACUAAAUAUAGAAAUCCAAACACCUCCUUUAAGGCUACAGAAGCAGCGUGAUGUGCACAGCCUAAAAGCCUCCUUAGACUUGAGUCUGGCACAGCACUGAAGGGCAGCCUGGUGACUGUGGAAGGGAGAUGUGUAUGUCUUACUGCAAUUAAGGCACAAAGGUUGACUCUGGGAACAUCUACCCAUCUUCUUCCUCUCUACUCUGCUCGGGUGAGACCCCACCUGGAGCACUGCAUCCAGCUCUGGAGCCCCCAGUGGAAGACAGACGUGGACCUGCUGCAUCUGGAAGAAGCACAAAGAUGCUCCGAGGGCUGGAGCCCCUCUGCUCUGGAGCCAGGCUGGGAGAGCUGGGGGUGUUCACCUGCAGAAGAGAAGACUCCAGGGAGACAUUAGAGCCCCUUCCAGUGCAUAAAGGGACUCCAAGGGAGCUGGAGAGGGACUCUGGGCAAGAGCAUGGAGUGACAGGACAAAGGGGAAUGGCUUCCCACUGCCAGGGGGCAGGGUUGGAUUAGAUAGGAGGAAGAAAUUUUUCCCUAUGAGUGUGGGGAGGCCCUGGCACAGGUUGCCCAGAGAAGCUGUGGCUGCCCCAUCCCUGGAAGUGCCCAAAGCCAGGAUGGAUGGAGCUUGAAGCAACCUGGUCUAGUGGAAGGUGUCCCUGCCUGUGGCAGGGGGUGAAGGAGAUGAUCUUUAAGGUUCCUUCCAACUCAGACCAUUCUAUGCAUUGUGAUGCUGCUGAUCCCAGAUGUUUCUGUCUCAGGAGCUGCAGGGAGAGGUCUGCAGCAUCCCAUUUGUCCUGCCCAAGAACAGGAGCUUCCCCAGCCACACAUGUUCCCACCAGAAACCAGGGUUUCAUCCAUGCCACAGCCUGCAUGGGGAGAUGGAAGUGAAACCCCUGAUGUUUCUGAGUUGAAAAUGUCUUUUCUUUCUGUUCCAUAGGAAAUGUCACUGUUCACUUCUCCAUUCCACUGCAAGGGGAACAGAAACAGGUCCUGAAGUGUCUGGAUUUGCUGUGGAAGGAAGAUGCUGAUUUUUCUACAGGGAAUCACAUGGCAGAAGUAGCUGAAACCCAAGAAAAAAAUCCAGGCUUCCUCCUCUAUUCACAAGCCAGGAACGAGCAGGAUUGUUGCUGGGAGGAGAUUCCGGGACACGAUCACAAGCAGAAAGAGUUGACUUUCCUCUGCCAAAGGCAGCCAGGGAGGACUGGAGUUUAUAGAGCAAUUCAGCAUCGGUGUUGGCUUUCCACCCCCUCAAAGCCCCGAGGAGGCUCCGCGCGGAGCUCGGGCGAUGUUCCGUCGAUAAUAAUGACUCAGCGUUUGGCCGCUCCGCGGGUACAUCAGAGGCGCUUUAUUAAAAAGUACACAGUCCGUGCAUCGACCAUAAAUCCAGGCAGGAGCUGCCGAGAGCGCCGUGCCGCACACACAUCACCCGGGCAGCCUCUCCGGGCGGGAGCUGCCUCUGCCUCUGCCUUUCCCUGCCCGCUCCGGCAGUCCCGGAAUGCCGGGCUUUAAUUGCCGCGGCGACCUGGGAUGCAUUGAGCCGCUUGGCGUGUCCGUCAGCUCCGUGCAGGCAGGAACAGGCACAAUAAAAUUCCCUUUACAGCCACUCACUCACUCUCUCCAUCGUUGGAGCAAGAGCCUCUUCCCAUUCAGCAGCCGAGGAGGAGGCCGUGUAACUGCUGGGGAAGGUGCUGCAGCAGGACCAGCAGCAAUGAAAUGCAGUUGAACAUUUCCAGCGCUGAGUAAACCAUAUGUCUUCAUAAUUUGAUUGUGCCCCGGUCCCCCAGGUACCUCCCAGCUCUAUUGAACACCGAUGGAGUUAUUUGGAAUCAUAAAUAAUAUUAUCAAAGAGGGUCUGCUGGGUAAACAGAGCCGGUGUAUAAAUUGUCGGCGGCGGUAUUGAUUGUUCUGAGCUGACUAAUGAAUUAUUCUGUUUAAGGGCUGUGGAAAUAGUGCUCAGCGUUUUCAAGGAAGGGCCCUUUGGAUGCUUCCCCCCGGCACUGCUGGGCUCUGCUGCCCUGGCAGGGAGCACAGGAGACAGGAAUGGCCCCGGCACAGCCCCCGGGGCAGCAGCCCCGCGGUGGAGCCAGGCCAGGGCAAGUGGGCAGGCUCAGCAGUAAAGAGGUGGAGGGGGAGCAUCCCGGAGGAGCAG